GGAAGGAUGGCAGAGCGGUUGAAUGCGACAGUCUUGAAAACUGUUGUCCCUUCACGGGGACCGUGGGUUCGAAUCCCACUCCUUCCG
RNAcentral lists this transfer RNA (87 nucleotides) under Candidatus Peribacteria bacterium. RNAcentral's name for it is "tRNA-Ser". It matches the Rfam family "tRNA". Rfam says of the family: Transfer RNA (tRNA) molecules are approximately 80 nucleotides in length. Their secondary structure includes four short double-helical elements and three loops (D, anti-codon, and T loops). The record is from RNAcentral. Lineage: Bacteria; Candidatus Peregrinibacteriota; Candidatus Peribacteria.